This 301-nucleotide ribosomal RNA is filed under the name uncultured bacterium. RNAcentral's name for it is "partial 16S ribosomal RNA". It matches the Rfam family "Bacterial small subunit ribosomal RNA", at positions 509 to 807 of the family's 1533-position model. The record is from RNAcentral.
CAGCCGCCGCGGUAAUACGAAGGGUGCAAGCGUCAAUCGGAAUUACUGGGCGUAAAGCGUGCGUAGGCGGUGAGUUAAGUCUGCUGUGAAAUCCCCGGGCUCAACCUGGGAAUGGCAGUGGAUACUGGCUCGCUAGAGUGUGUCAGAGGAUGUUGGAAUUCCCGGUGUAGCGGUGAAAUGCGUAGAGAUCGGGAGGAACAUCAGUGGCGAAGGCGGCCAUCUGGGACAACACUGGCGCUGAGGCACGAAAGCGUGGGGAGCAAACAGGAUUAGAUACCCCUGUAGUCCCUGUCUCUUAUAC